This 1662-nucleotide long non-coding RNA is filed under the name Cricetulus griseus (Chinese hamster). RNAcentral's name for it is "lncRNA (ENSCGRG00015041752.1)". The record is from RNAcentral. Lineage: Eukaryota; Metazoa; Chordata; Mammalia; Rodentia; Cricetidae.
CCAGCAGCAGGAUAUGAUCCACCAGCAAGAAGGGACGCCAAUAAGGCGUCCAAUAAGAUAAGUCUUAUAACAUAUAUAGAUGUAUGAUAGUUAAGACUGAGCUAACAGAUGAGAAUCCUAGUCAUUGGCCAAGCAGCUUUGAACCUAAUACAAUUUUAUGUGUCUUCAUUUGGGCCUAACUUGGGCGGGCGGCUGGCGUAAAGCUCACACAUGGCAGGCCUUUGGCAGAAGGAUUUAUCUUAACAGGGAGGGUCCUGGGGGAAGCUGUCCUUUGCUGAGGCAGUGUUCUUCAGAAAUGACCACAGGAAAGCUCAACAGGCUGGUCCUUGGAGAAGGCACAGCUGCCUCAUCUUUGUAUGACCCUUGUGACCUGAGCCCUUUCUGUGGCCUCAUGUCCCCAGGUGUGCCUCACUCUCCCGGGGUCUAUGCUUUGUCCACUAGAAGUCAAACAUGACCUGUGUACAGAUAUUAAGACAACAGAGCCGGCCUGAGCAUAAACGUCUACUGCCAGAGAAAUUUGGCAUCCUGAGAAGAGGUUCCUCAGCCCGCUGCUUCCGUGGAUCCCUGUGUUAAAAUGUGAUGAUGAAGAUAGAAUCAGAACCUGGUAUGGUAUCUGUCAGAUAAAUCAGCGUCCCCCUGCCUGUCCACCCAGAAAAGCUAAGGAAUCAGGAUCUAGCAACUGUCAGUAUCCUGGAAAACAAGAGCAUAUAGACAUUAGCUUUCAUCAAUUCAUAUUCAGUGAGACUCCUCCAGAUCAAAGCCAGUUUUCCCCCAUGGCCUGAAGCUCUUUCUGAUCCUUUCCAAUGGUGCUUUUGAACCAGGUUCUCUCACAGACUGCUGCAUGCAUGAAUUCUGACUCUCACAGGCACACACUUUUAAUAUCUCAGGAGAUACUGUGUUCAAUGCAAAUGUGUGGGACACCAAGCUUCUCCACAUAGGUCAAGGAAUGGGGAAAGACACUGAGGCUCACCCAAAUCCAGCCGAAUAGGCAAGAAUGUAAAGGCUUUGUUUUCAAUGAGUUUAGCAAAAGUAUUCUGCCAAAGUAAUUUAAGUAAUAAUCAUUCAUAAAGAUAUUUGGAAGUUUCCAGCACACAUGACUCUUAAAGAACACAGGGAACCAGCCCCGGGUUUCAAUGAGCAAGUUGUGUCCUGACUUAUGUCCAGCAACAUUAUGGCUCAGUCACGUCUCCUACUCUCCUCCUCCUCCUCAGUCCCCUCUCCCAAACUUCCCUUUCUUUUGGGAGAGGGAGGGAAGACAAUGCCAUCACGACCAUGAAGGAAUUAAAUAAGAUAAUAGCAGAUGCUCCCUCUCCUCCGCCUUCCACCUCCCUUUAAAUGCUCAAGAGAAAGACAGCAAAGGCCCAGGAUCUCCAGGAUCGCUCUUCGCCCAUGCCUUCAUCAUGUCUCCCUGACCAGCUGUGAUCCUCAAGCAGACAGUUACUGCAAAAUUACAAACAAGCAACGGGGAUAGAAUGAUUUGGGAUCUGUUUCAAUACAAUUGACUGCCUGCUGGAACUAGACAUGUAGGCAUGCUCAGACUGUGUCCAUGAGCAAGAUGGAGAUGUCACAGGAUGUGGGAAGGUUGCCCUUCAAGGUUGGGGAUUCUUUCUUUCAUGUUUCCUUGCCCUUCCCUCCCCUUCCCUCCCCUCCCCUCCCCUCCCC